GAGAUUGUUAGUAAAAAAUGGAAGUAGGUAGCCACCUACCACCUCCACCAUUUGCCACCUACCACCAUUUGCCACCUACCACCUCCACCAUUUGCCUAUAAAUAAACAUCUUCUGCAGCAUCCCAAACACAACAACACAACACCAAAAUCACAACCAUAGCUAUCUAGAGAGAGAUAGAAAUAGAGAGAGAAAAAAUCUUGUGAGAUAAAACUUCAGUGUGGAAGUUAUACACGAGUGAUAAAAGAGAGUUGAGAGAUAGCCUCUGCGUAGGCAGAUACAAAAUACAGUGUGAUAUUUUGUUGUACUCCUCCUUUUGAGAUUCUCUAAUAUAUUGGUGUGGGUCCGUGGACGUAGGCAGUUUGGCCGAACCACGUUAAAAAUAUCGGUGUCAUUUUUUUUUCUCGUUUCAUAUCGGUCGAUAUCCAAAAUUUUGCGUCACACUAGAUCCAGGGCGGAAUUAGUUGCGUCUAAUUUCCUAACAGAGAAGCAGGGACAGCUUGUGGCAAUCACCGACUUCUUCGGAAUGGGCGCAGCAGCAGCAGGAACCGGCUUUAAGCACAGAGGGAUGGAGUGGGGUUGUACUCGGUGAGGGAGUUUCUUUGCUUGAUCACAUUCGAGCGUGGAGAGAAGCGGCGGCGGGAGUUGGAGGCAAUCUUUAAUGGCUCCUCAAUCAAAUUAUGCAGAUAGAUGACAACAGCAACAACAUAAUUAUGGUCAACCAUCUGUUUCUCCAUAUUCUCAAAGUUAUACUGUGCGACAUUCGUCUUCUGUGGGAUAGCAACACUCGUCAAGAUUAUGCUGUGACUUUCUUCUUCUUCUUCUUCUUUAUNUUUUUUUUGUAGGAAUUGGUGAUUAUGCACGCAUCCAUUGAAAAGCUGUGGAGUUUUUUUUUUUUCAUGUAGAAGUUUUAUGUUGCCCCAACUUCAACUAUUGAUCGAGCGCAUUCAACCAAGGAAUUUUACUUAUAAAAAUUGAUGGAGUGCAUUCAACCGAAGAAUUUUGCUUGAUGAGGAGUAAUAUAUGCGGAACAGAGGAAUGACUUUACCAGGGGAAUCACGGGGAGCAGUGAGACGGCUUUCAUCAGAGGAAUCACACUCAGCAGAUGAAUCACACUCACCAGAGGAAUGGUCUUCACCAGAGGAAUCACCAGAAACGCGGGGAAAUCUCCCGCGUGAAGCGAUUUUACUAUUAUGCCCCUGACCACGCAAGACGCAUGCUCCAGUGCUGAAUUUACCAUUUUACCCUUUACGUGUACUCUAUAAAUAGUGGCAUACGUGCUCCUUGUAAUUUACGCUAUCUUUUAUUAUCAAGCAGCAAUUUUACUCUCGUGCUCAAAAACCCCGAUUACUCUCUUUCGUCUUCUCCGAUCUAAACUAGGUACAGUUCACGAUUUCCUAACAAUUCUCCGAUAAAAUCCAUCUCCAUUUAACCAUGCUUCACCA
Molecule: long non-coding RNA, 1443 nt
Filed under: Salvia miltiorrhiza (redroot sage)
Lineage: Eukaryota; Viridiplantae; Streptophyta; Magnoliopsida; Lamiales; Lamiaceae
Description: long non-coding RNA (SMIL_LNC004753)
Source: RNAcentral